Molecule: long non-coding RNA, 1035 nt
Filed under: Equus caballus (horse)
Lineage: Eukaryota; Metazoa; Chordata; Mammalia; Perissodactyla; Equidae
Description: lncRNA (ENSECAG00000059390.1)
Source: RNAcentral
AUGGACCCGAGGGGGAGGUGUCAGACCAGGCCCUGAAUGCCAGGCUGAGAGGGGUGGGGCUGUCUCUCCUUGGUUGGGAGGCCAGCAGGAGAGGGCCCUGGGGGCCUUUAGAAUAACUCCCUCCAACCUCCGUAUGCACAAAGGGGGUCAUCUUAGACACGAUGGGGGGAGAAUGACUCCCCUCCCCAGACCAGGGCGGUGGAGGGGCGGUGUUUGUUCCUGAGCCCGGCUGGAAACUGAGGCACGAGGAAGUCCCGGGAUUUGCCCAAGGCCCCCAGCUGGGGUCUCCUCUCGACUUGUCGUGAUGGAUCUUUUUUCCUGGAAGUUUUCACUCAGUCCCCUUCGCUCCCACCAGACCGUGAGCUCCGGGGUCGGCCCAGUGGUCCCAGCACCCAGCCUGGCGCAUAGGAGGGACGUAGUAACUGGGUGAACGGAUGGAUGGAUGGACGGAUGGAUGGACGGACGGACCUCCCUACCUUUCUUCUUCUUGUCGCCAGGAGAGAAAGGAAGGAAAUUUCAAACAACUCUGAGCCGUAGCUCAGCCUGGAGCUGCGGCAACCCCAGCCUCCCUGGCGGGGAGCAUCGACCCAUGGCGGGCGGGCGGGUGCGGCUGCUUUGUGGAGGUGGAGGGCGCUGGGGGACCUGCGCCAACCUGCUUCACGGCGUCCAGACCCCCCUCCACCUCCACCCCGCUCCCGGCAGCUCUGCAGAGCCCGGGUGUCAGCAGCCAGUGGGGGGCUGCGCAGGGAAGGGGUUGGGGGGGGUGGAGCUGUGCAGCCUCUGCAGCAGCCGGCACGGAGAGGCCCUCUUGACGCACAAAAGCAGGAAAGGCACAUUAAGCCCAUUAUCAAUAUUUUGCCUGGAAAAAAUACAAAAAGCAUUUUCGCCUCUGAAAAAUUAAUAACCUGGAAGGGGGGGAGGCUGGGGGUGAUGUCUGGCAAGUGGGGGGCGGGGGAGGCUCCUCUGCCCCCAGUGGGUGCCUGGGUCCCUCUGAGAAAGCCGCCCCAGCCCACCUGACUCGCUUCGCGCCUCCGC